UGUUAACCGGAUAUUCAAACCAGUAAAGCUCACUGAUCAGAUGACAGUUGGGAAGUCUGACAGCACUUAAACGCAGCACAGGUUUUACCCACGCAGACAUUUCAACGAGCCCGAAACAAGACAGAACCGAGGUUUCCUGUGUUUUUUUAUGACCUGUUCGUCUACCAAGAAGCAUUCAUUAAUAGCCCCACAGCUGCUGUACCAGCACUGGAAACGGACUUCAGGACCAAACAUAAAAACAUAUGUAUGCGUUUUUUUCUGCAUCACCGGCUGAAUGCAGUCCUAAAUCUCCGUCACAAGACUCGGAGUAGUUCAAGGACCAUCAGAAAUAUGACAAUAGGUUUGAAAUGGUUGUGAAAAUUAUGCACUGUUUGUUUAAAAUGGCACAAAAUAUAUCCCUUCCUGACCAGCAGACGCAGUCAGUUUUAAUUUCACAUCUUUUCCUGGAUGAUAGUGACCUUUUCUAGUGUUAAAAUAGAGCUGGAGUCAUUUAACUGAACUGAGAAAAUCAAAAUAAGUGUUUCAAGAUAUUUACAUGUAAUAUUCUUACAGAGCAACAUCAGUCCUGUGUUUUUUUUAAAAUAGAACGUACAAAUGCAAACUAUUCUUUACUGUAAACAUGAGAGUCAUGUGGAGAUUAUCCAUUAGUUUGAACAAAAAAUAACAAAAACAUUUUUUUCUGUAAUAUGUGAAAAUGUCAGAAAAUUAUAUUUGAAGGAAGACACUCCCUGGUGGACAUAAAUGAUUUUUAAAACUCUAAUUGUGCUAAUGUUUCUGAUAAAUAUUGAAUAUAUUAACUAGUUAUUUAACUACAGUGACUUUGUAAUUUCAAUUCUCCAGUUUUGUAUCUUGAAAAUAUACUUGUGUGUUAUUUUGUUUAAUAUUCCUGAGUUGGUUAAAGCCUGAUUUAACAGUUUUCUCAGUUUGUCCACAGUUUAGUUCACUGUCAUCAUUUCUUUGUGAAGUAAUUCUUACUUUCAAUUUUCAUAACUGGAGUGAAAAUAACUGCAUUUAUUUAUUGUCAGAGGUUUAUAAUGAAUCUUACCUCACAGAGAAAAUGAAUAUUUAAAAUGCAGUGGUUCUGUUAUUUCAUAUUCUGCUUCUUCUUCAACAACAAUGUCGCAUUUUAUUUUGGAAAAAAUCACACGCUUGAAUCCCAGAUUACUGAGUCACAUGUUCAAAUGUCACAUUGGAGGAUUUAAUGCUCCAGAUCCAGAACAAACAAGAUUUUGCUGCUCAGCUGUGCCUGAAGGGAAACAGAGUCACACUGAAUAUUAAAGUCUGUGUUCAAACCUUUAUUUCACGUUUUUGAAGGAUUAAAAUGUUUUGACUGAGCUGUAAAUAACUGAGGUGUUUGUGUAACUUUAAUAAUCACUCAGUUUAAACUGAAACAGAAUCAUGACUCAGGAAUCAGGCAGGAAAAUAGAAAGUUUCCUGAUAAACAGGCAGAAGGUCAAAACUGCAGAUGAAGGCAGCUGGAGUGAAGCAAAUGUAAACUGUCAGACAGCUGAGGAACAUCUCAAGAUGCAGUUUCUGGAAAAGCAUCAACAAAUAGGAGUCUGUGGGUUCAGGUCAAAGUGCUGAUAUUUACUCAACACAAGCUGCAGUCAGUGUUUUUUACCAGCAGGUGUCUCCAGUGAACGCGUAAAGUGAAACUCUGAUAUCCAGGGUUCAGUGAAUGCAGCUGUAGUGACCACGUGACCGAAUCAGAUUCAAAAAGUCCUUUUAGUUGACAAACACAGAUCUAAAAAACUGUUAACAGGAACUGAAAUCUAGUCUGGUGUUUCCAGCUGUUUGUAGGAGUCCAGUUUCAGCUGUUUACUAAAAUUAAAUGUCUCUGUAACAGCAUAUUUAUCUCUUUAUUAUUGUUUUAUCCACUACAGGAUAUUUACAACAGUUACAUGAAUGUGCAUACAGCUGCAUUAAAGACCUAAUUAUUUAAGUAACUACCAAAAUGUAGCAAUUAAAGGAGCAACGAAAACACAUUUUAUUGUGACAUUAGUUGCUGUAGUUAGAUUAUUUUCACACAUUGACAUAACUUUAAUGUUUAAUACAUAAAGCAGAAGUGUUUUGUCUGUAGGUGAACUUUCUCUCCUCAGAUUCUCUGCAGCAUCUCUUCUCCUGGACUAUUUUUAACUGUUUUCACCCUGAUAACCAAAACAUUUUGAACUGAACCUCAAUUAAUCAGAUCAUUAGUGACCUUCACUAAGGGUGUUUUCACACCUGUUAGUCCGCUAGAGUGGUUCGUUUGGACCCAAAAUUUGUUACAAUGUUGCUAUUUUCAACUGGGUCGGUUCGCAUUCACACCAGUGUUUUCGUAGUUGAACCUACUCCAAUUAAUGUUAUAUCUCCCCCCAGUCGUUUGGCGGCGCCGUUUACAAAACAAGGCGUUUACGAUGACGUAGGUGUACGCUGAUUGGCGCAGCAUGUGAAGAGGGAAAAAUCCCGGAAGAAAACAACAGGCUGUGUUUAUUUCAUGGACCGCGGGUUAUUCGUAGACAAUGAACUAUGCUCUCCUGUUCGUUCUUGUUGCCAUAUAUUUGUGUUAUUGCUUUAUGCAGCAAGCACAAAUACUGCUGUUGUUUCAGCACGAAGCUCGCAUUCGGUACGAGAACAUUAUACAGUCGUUUUUGGCCCCUGUUCAUUGUAAACGCAGGCUCUCGAUCAAACUCGUGCGGAGAAUGUGGUUUAGCUAGCGCGAUUUUUUUUGCGCCUCCCAAAAUUCCCUGUGCAGGUUGCUACGGAAGCUCCCAUAGACCAAAAAGUCUGCUGCGCCAUCAAGCCGGUCCGAAUGGAGACAGGUUUGUGUUCUCACCAGGAGCGAACCGAACUGGAGUUCACAUAGAAGCGGACCGAGACCACCUCCCGAAAGUGGUCUCGGUGCGGUUCGUUAGUCCGAACCAAAAAAAUCUGGUAUACUUUCACAUCAGCCCAAACGAACCAUGCUUGCAGGUGUUGCGGACUCCAGUCCGCUUUAAGCGGACUAAAAGACGUAGGUGUGAAAGCACCCUCAACCAUAUCAGUUUAAAAAUUAUGAACUCUCAUAUUGACACAGUUUUCAACAUUAGUGUGCUGAUAAAUCUAUACUCUAACAUUUCAAUUAACUUGUUCCCACCACUUAAAGAAAUAUGUGGCUGCAAGAUAAAAAAAAAAUCCAAUCUAAUGAUCUAGAUAAUUUUUUUAAAGUUGCAAACAUUUUAAUGGAUUGACUUGACAUAAUAAUGUUGCAUUCGCUUAAUAUUGUUGGUAAUUUAAACUCAAAUUUCCACAUUACUUGAUUAUAAACUGUAGCAGCAAUUUCAUCAAACCCAUUUAAUCUGCUGCUUGACUACUACUGAUGCCUGAGUUGGAUUUAGUCUUGACACAUGCAAAUAAAGAGGAGUAGAAGUGAAUCCAGUCGGUCCCAAUGACCAUUUAUUGCAUUUAUUGUUGUUGAAUGAAUUACAGAUAAGUUGAAACAAAACAAAAAAGCUUUAAACUAAAGAGUUUUUUUUUUUUUUUUUUUUUUUUUAAGAAGGCCUAGUUCCUUGAUGCAGCCACAUGGUCAAAAAACUUUUUGCCUUCCUCAGCCACAUCCAGAUGCUGUGGCAGCUGUUUUUUUUAGCCCUCCCCUUGGGCUCCACUUACAACUUCCUGAGCCAGGUGGAGCAAGACUCUCUGGUCUCCUCUAGGUGAGGAUUAACCCACCUAUGGCCAUACAUUUUCCCAGAGGCACACAUACUCUCUCUCUCUCCCAUUUACAUCCACAUACUAAUAAAAAAGAAUGUGUAAAGAUCAAAUAAAUCUCAAUUUUGCUCCUACAUAAACUAAAUUCAAGUUGAAGUAACUUAAUGAAAUUGGCUUUUUAGUUCAGUUUUUCAUCAUCUCUAAAGUCAACUUACUUAACUAGAUCAACUUUUUUUUUUUUUAACUUUGUCAACUUAAAAACAAGAACGACUUCAUUUUUAUGAAUAAUCAACUUAAAAACUUUACGUAUUUUUGGUACCAAUCAUGGGAAAAGCCAAUUCCUCGAACUCAGUACAGUUUGUUGGUUGAACAUAAUUUUAUUCUAAUUCAAUUCAAACACUUUAUUUAUCCCCGAGGGGCAAUUAAAAGGCACAAAGAGCAGCAUCAACAAAGAACAGGACAAGAACAAACAGAACAUCAGACAAUAAAACCGACACAAAGUUUGAUCAUUUAAAAUUUUAAUUUAGAAAGUCAUACCUUGUACAUUGUCUUUAUUAUGUCUUUAUUUUUAGCCUUAUUGUACCUUUAUUUUCUUAUUUCACUUCUUUCAUGCUUCGUCUGUAUCCAGCUGCUGUAACAUGUACGUUUCCCAGAUGAAGUUUAUUUUAUCUUAACUUUUAUUGUUCUGUGUGUAAAUAUAAUAAAAAUAAUUCUUUCUUAUGGAAUGAAAUGUGUACUCAAUGA
Molecule: long non-coding RNA, 4410 nt
Organism: Amphiprion ocellaris (clown anemonefish)
Lineage: Eukaryota; Metazoa; Chordata; Actinopteri; Pomacentridae
Source: Ensembl